UGAUGAUAAAACAUAGCUGAAAAGUGAUGAACCCUAUGAGUACUGAU
RNAcentral lists this unclassified non-coding RNA (47 nucleotides) under uncultured archaeon. Its description in RNAcentral is "sR41". The record is from RNAcentral.